This 494-nucleotide ribosomal RNA is filed under the name uncultured bacterium. RNAcentral describes it as "partial 16S ribosomal RNA". It matches the Rfam family "Bacterial small subunit ribosomal RNA", at positions 28 to 507 of the family's 1533-position model. The record is from RNAcentral.
GACGAACGCUGGCGGCGUGCCUAAUACAUGCAAGUAGAACGCUGAAGGAGGAGCUUGCUUCUCUGGAUGAGUUGCGAACGGGUGAGUAACGCGUAGGUAACCUGCCUGGUAGCGGGGAUAACUAUUGGAAACGAUAGCUAAUACCGCAUAAUAGCAGUUGUUGCAUGACAACUGUUUGAAAGGUGCAAUUGCACCACUACCAGAUGGACCUGCGUUGUAUUAGCUAGUUGGUGGGGUAACGGCUCACCAAGGCGACGAUACAUAGCCGACCUGAGAGGGUGAUAGGCCACACUGGGACUGAGACACGGCCCAGACUCCUACGGGAGGAAGCAGGAGGGAAUCUUCGGCAAUGGACGGAAGUCUGACCGAGAAACGCCGCGUGAGUGAAGAAGGUUUUCGGAUCGUAAAGCUCUGUUGUAAGAGAAGAACGAGUGUGAGAGUGGAAAGUUCACACUGUGACGGUAUCUUACCAGAAAGGGACGGCUAACUACGUG